Molecule: ribosomal RNA, 777 nt
Filed under: uncultured Neocallimastigales
Lineage: Eukaryota; Fungi; Neocallimastigomycota; Neocallimastigomycetes; Neocallimastigales
Description: partial large subunit ribosomal RNA
Rfam family: Eukaryotic large subunit ribosomal RNA
Source: RNAcentral
GAGACUCUGUGCGCGUGCAUAUCAAUAAGCGGAGGAAAAGAAACUAACAAGGAUUCCCUUAGUAACGGCGAGUGAAGCGGGAAGAGCUCAAAUUUGAAAUCUUCAAGGUUCUACCUUGACGAAUUGUAGUUUAUAGAAGUGUUUUCUGUUAGUAGAGUGGCAAAAGUUCUUUGGAAUAGGACAUCAUAGAGGGUGAGAAUCCCGUAUUUGGUCAUUCUCUUCCUAGCUUUGUGAUACACUUUCAACGAGUCGGAUUGUUUGGGAAUGCAGUCCAAAAUGGGUGGUAAAUUUCAUCUAAAGCUAAAUAUUGGCGAGAGACCGAUAGCGAACAAGUACCGUGAGGGAAAGAUGAAAAGAACUUUGAAAAGAGAGUUAAACAGUACGUGAAAUUGUCAAAAGGGAAGCGUUUGACACCAGUGUUGUUUUUCCGAAAAUCAAUUACGAAUGUUUUGUUUUUGAGAAGUUAUGACUUCAUCGGCUUGCUCCUUUCUUUACGAAACUUUCUUAAUGCACUUUUCGGUUAACAAGUCAACAUCAAUUUCUUUUGUUGUAAAAGGGUAUGAGGAAGGUGGCUUUCUUUUCGGAGAAAGUGUUUAUAGCCUUGUAGCCUCUGCAAUCGGAGAGAUUGAGGUCUGCAGCGUAGAUCCUUCGGGGUUAGAUACAGUUUGUGCUAAGUUAUAGCUUUUCAUAGACAACUUGUUGACUAUGUUAGUCUUGUAGCUUACUCGCUUAUGCUAUUUUACCUACGCUUAGGAUGUUGAACUCUAUCACACACAG